Equus asinus (donkey) is the source of this 1573-nucleotide long non-coding RNA. NCBI's taxonomy places the organism in Eukaryota, Metazoa, Chordata, Mammalia, Perissodactyla, Equidae. The record is from Ensembl.
GUGGCCUUGGUCGCUGGCUUGGCUCUCUGAACCUUCUCACUGCACCUUUUAGUGCCUCUGCGGAGUCCAGACUCCAUACCCAGGGUGUCUCUUCAUACCCUGGGGAAGUCUGUUCAGCUCAUUCCCUCAGGACUGGUGGUGAUUUCAAAGAUGCUAAAAGGAAGAAGCCACAGGAAUGGAUCUCUAGUAACAGGCCUGAGUGGGAGUCAAAGUAUCUGUGGAUGUGGUGGGAAGGCUUCCCCUGGACUGCGGACACCCAGCCCUGGUUGUUUCUGUGCCCUAACCUGCUAAGCAUGUGUGCAGGUGGUGGUGGUGACAGUGGGGAAAGAUCAGGGCAUCAUGAAUGCAGCCAUUUCAGGGAGGAUGUGACAAGGUGGAGGGAGACGGCAGCAGUGUGCCUCGAAUCCUGUGACUUUUUAGGAUUACCAAGAACUCUACCUAAGAAUAGCCCCUUCUCUGAUUUCCCCUCCUCUGUCCUUCCCUCCAAACAGCUGGAUGAGGCAGGGGGGCGCCAAAGAGGGAGUCAGAGGGGAAAUCCACCCCCUUUGUAAUCCUCACAAGCUGGCUUCUACUUAUGUCACUCUAUUCAACCCUGUCCCUCAGACUCCAAUGGCCAGUGACCUCCCAGUCACCAAGCCAAAAGCCUGCCUCAGACCUCAGUGUCAUCAGCCUCACAGCCCUGGACACCUCAGAGGACCACCCCUUUCUGAAGCUCUUCCCUCCCUCAGCCUGCCACGGGCUGUCUUUUCUCUGUUCACUAGCCACUUGGACUCCUCUCUUUCCAGGUUCUUCUUGGAAAGGUUCCCUAAGAUUUCUGCCGUUCUCUUCUCUCCUGUCUUCACGCUGUCUCGGAGCAGCCCACCAUCUCAACCAUUACCCCCCUGCAUGUGACAGACCUCACUGGGAUCUGUCUCAGUUACUGCAGUAGCUUUCCAAAUGCCCUCUCCGCCUCCUGACACGCGCCCCCCCAGGAUGUCCACCAUUUGCUCAGCUUACCUGACCCUACCAGAAACCACAGCCCUGCCCUGCCCAUAUCACGUGAGCACUAGCAAACUCCUCAGCAUGGUUUUCAAGACUCCUGCACCAUCCCUGCCCAGGCCCCCUGCCCAGCCCCACCCCUGCAACUCCACUUCAAGAACGCUGGCAAGCCUGCAGCCCUGGCCAUCCAACAGGCAUGCCAUGCCCAUCCUUAUUCCUGCUGUUCCCACUGCCUGGCAAGCCCUUCUGCAGAAUGCCCGCAGGUCCAGACCACAGCCAUCAACCCUGCUCUGUGGACUCUCCUCCCUCUCCCAAGGUGAGUGGCAGUCUCCACUGCCGCUGGUCCUCCGCCAUUGACUUGCCCUUGUCCUUUGGCACUGCUUGUCCAGACUGUGCUUGUUUAUGCUUGUGUCACAGUCCUGUUGGAUGCAAGUGCCUCGGAUGUAGAAUUAGUCCAUCUUUGCCUCCCCCAUGGUACCCAGGACAGCACAUUGCACAGACCACAGCUAGUGAGAAUUAGUCUAGAUUCUCGCCUGUCUUCAACACCUCAAGUCGGACAUUUUCCACUCCCCAGCCAGGCACCGUGGAUUCUGAG